UGGGAUGUGGUGUAUGGUGCGCAGCUGCUCUCAAUUACGUGUUCCCCAACGUAGAUGGGAAGCAGCAGGACAGGGUUCAAUUCCCUGUGUCCCAA
Non-coding RNA from Mycena capillaripes, 95 nucleotides. NCBI's taxonomy places the organism in Eukaryota, Fungi, Basidiomycota, Agaricomycetes, Agaricales, Mycenaceae. The record is from the annotation of a GenBank genome assembly.